RNAcentral lists this ribosomal RNA (887 nucleotides) under bacterium. RNAcentral's name for it is "bacterial SSU rRNA". It matches the Rfam family "Bacterial small subunit ribosomal RNA", at positions 56 to 941 of the family's 1533-position model. The record is from RNAcentral.
UGCAGUCGAGCGGAGAGAGGUAGCUUGCUACUGAUCUUAGCGGCGGACGGGUGAGUAAUGCUUAGGAAUCUGCCUAUUAGUGGGGGACAACAUUUCGAAAGGAAUGCUAAUACCGCAUACGUCCUACGGGAGAAAGCAGGGGAUCUUCGGACCUUGCGCUAAUAGAUGAGCCUAAGUCGGAUUAGCUAGUUGGUGGGGUAAAGGCCUACCAAGGCGACGAUCUGUAGCGGGUCUGAGAGGAUGAUCCGCCACACUGGGACUGAGACACGGCCCAGACUCCUACGGGAGGCAGCAGUGGGGAAUAUUGGACAAUGGGCGCAAGCCUGAUCCAGCCAUGCCGCGUGUGUGAAGAAGGCCUUAUGGUUGUAAAGCACUUUAAGCGAGGAGGAGGCUACUUUAGUUAAUACCUAGAGAUAGUGGACGUUACUCGCAGAAUAAGCACCGGCUAACUCUGUGCCAGCAGCCGCGGUAAUACAGAGGGUGCAAGCGUUAAUCGGAUUUACUGGGCGUAAAGCGCGCGUAGGCGGCUAAUUAAGUCAAAUGUGAAAUCCCCGAGCUUAACUUGGGAAUUGCAUUCGAUACUGGUUAGCUAGAGUGUGGGAGAGGAUGGUAGAAUUCCAGGUGUAGCGGUGAAAUGCGUAGAGAUCUGGAGGAAUACCGAUGGCGAAGGCAGCCAUCUGGCCUAACACUGACGCUGAGGUGCGAAAGCAUGGGGAGCAAACAGGAUUAGAUACCCUGGUAGUCCAUGCCGUAAACGAUGUCUACUAGCCGUUGGGGCCUUUGAGGCUUUAGUGGCGCAGCUAACGCGAUAAGUAGACCGCCUGGGGAGUACGGUCGCAAGACUAAAACUCAAUGAAUUGACGGGGCCCGCACAGCGGUGGAGCAUG